RNAcentral lists this ribosomal RNA (324 nucleotides) under uncultured eukaryote. RNAcentral's name for it is "partial 18S ribosomal RNA". It matches the Rfam family "Eukaryotic small subunit ribosomal RNA", at positions 1470 to 1796 of the family's 1831-position model. The record is from RNAcentral.
CCCUUAGAUGUCCUGGGCUGCACGCGCGCUACACUGAUGUGUUCAGUAAGCACCUAACCUCUUCCGAAGGGAACAGGUAACCUUAGCAAAGCACAUCGUGAUGGGGAUAGAUUAUUGCAAUUAUUAGUCUUGAACGAGGAAUUCCUAGUAAGCACAAGUCAUCAGCUUGUGUUGAUUACGUCCCUGCCCUUUGUACACACCGCCCGUCGCUCCUACCGAUUGAAUGUUCCGGUGAAUACUUCGGACUGCGAAGUUUGCAGUUUCUGUAUGCCUUGCGGAAAGUUGAAUAAACCUUAACAUUUAGAGGAAGGAGAANUCGUANCA